UACGAAGGGUGCAAGCGUUACUCGGAAUUACUGGGCGUAAAGCGUGCGUAGGUGGUUUGUUAAGUCUGCUGUGAAAGCCCCGGGCUCAACCUGGGAAUGGCAGUGGAUACUGGCAAGCUAGAGUGCGGUAGAGGGUAGUGGAAUUCCCGGUGUAGCGGUGAAAUGCGUAGAGAUCGGGAGGAACACCAGUGGCGAAGGCAGGUCUCUGGGCCACUAUUGACGCUGAGGUGCGAAAGCGUGGGGGAGCAAACAGG
This 254-nucleotide ribosomal RNA is filed under the name uncultured bacterium. RNAcentral's name for it is "partial 16S ribosomal RNA". It matches the Rfam family "Bacterial small subunit ribosomal RNA", at positions 524 to 776 of the family's 1533-position model. The record is from RNAcentral.